Molecule: ribosomal RNA, 385 nt
Filed under: uncultured bacterium
Lineage: Bacteria
Description: bacterial SSU rRNA
Rfam family: Bacterial small subunit ribosomal RNA
Source: RNAcentral
AUUGAACGCUGGCGGCAUGCCUUACACAUGCAAGUCGAACGGCAGCACGGGAGCAAUCCUGGUGGCGAGUGGCGAACGGGUGAGUAAUAUAUCGGAACGUGCCCAGUCGUGGGGGAUAACGUAGCGAAAGCUACGCUAAUACCGCAUACGAUCUACGGAUGAAAGCGGGGGAUCGCAAGACCUCGCGCGAUUGGAGCGGCCGAUAUCAGAUUAGGUAGUUGGUGAGGUAAAGGCUCACCAAGCCGACGAUCUGUAGCUGGUCUGAGAGGACGACCAGCCACACUGGGACUGAGACACGGCCCAGACUCCUACGGAGGCAGCAGUGGGGAAUUUUUGGGACAAUGGGCGCAAGCCUGAUCCAGCAAUGCCGCGUGCAGGAUGAAGG